Molecule: long non-coding RNA, 636 nt
Organism: Aedes albopictus (Asian tiger mosquito)
Lineage: Eukaryota; Metazoa; Arthropoda; Insecta; Diptera; Culicidae
Exons: 2
Source: RefSeq, a predicted model, not a curated record
AGGUAGUACUUGCAACCAAUUUUCGUUUAACAUUUCUAUAGUUAUGAGAGCUUGUUGGAUAAUCUACUUCACAACAUACUUUGGAGUGAUUGUACACAGCAAUAUAUUUCAUAUAUCACGUACAAAAAAAAACUGGACCGAUGCUAUAGAGCACUGCAAAUGUUACGGGAUGCGUCUGGCGGUGGUUGAUACUGCAGCGAAGCAAAGGCUGUUGGAACAGGCACUCAUUGGGUCCGCAAUCUUCAACGACUCGUGGACCAGCGUAUGGAUUGCAGCAAAUGACAGAGCCGUCGAGGGCCAAUUUGUUUGGCAGCCUACGGGGAAAAAAGUGCAAUACACCAAUUGGAGGUCUCUAAUGCCGGACAAUUAUCAAGGGUACGAAGAUUGCGUGCACGUAUUCCGCGGGAUUGGUUUCAACUUUAAGUGGAAUGAUUGGCCGUGUACUUGGCUGACUCAGGUUGCAUGUGAAGAAGUGAAAAAAUGCUAGCAAACAGUGAAUGACUGAAUGUGAAUAGUACAAUAAGUGAUUGAUUGUAAGUACCAGCACACCACCAAAUAAUUAUUUUUUGCUGAAAAAAUAAAUAAAUUUGCAAAAAUGCAAAUAUAAAACAUAAAUAGAUCAAUUCCUAAACAGUA